Molecule: ribosomal RNA, 781 nt
Filed under: uncultured bacterium
Lineage: Bacteria
Description: partial 16S ribosomal RNA
Source: RNAcentral
UAUCUAAUCCUGUUCGCUCCCCACGCUUUCGUCCCUCAGCGUCAAUAUAUUAUUAGUGAUCUGCCUUCGCAAUUGGUAUUCUAAGUAAUAUCUAUGCAUUUCACCGCUACACUACUUAUUCUAACCACUUCAUAAUAAUUCAAGACUACCAGUUUCAAAGGCAAUUUUACAGUUGAGCUGCAAACUUUCACCUCUGACUUAAUAGCCCGCCUACGGACCCUUUAAACCCAAUGAUUCCGGAUAACGCUUGGACCCUCCGUAUUACCGCGGCUGCUGGCACGGAGUUAGCCGGUCCUUAUUCUUGUAGUACCGUCAAGCUCUCACACGUGAGAGUGUUUCUUCCUACAUAAAAGCAGUUUACAACCCAUAGGGCCGUCAUCCUGCACGCGGCAUGGCUGGAUCAGAGUUGCCUCCAUUGUCCAAUAUUCCUCACUGCUGCCUCCCGUAGGAGUCUGGUCCGUGUCUCAGUACCAGUGUGGGGGAUCCCCCUCUCAGGGCCCCUACCUAUCGAAGUCUUAGUGAGCCGUUACCUCACCAACAAACUAAUAGGACGCAUAGUCAUCUUGUACCGUAACCUUUAAAGUAUAAAUGAUGCCAUAAAUACUUACUAUAGGGUGUUAAUCUUCGUUUCCAAAGGCUAUCCCCUAGUACAAGGUAGAUUCUAUACGCGUUACGCACCCGUGCGCCGGUCGUCAGCAAGUAGCAAGCUACCUCUGUUACCCCUCGACUUGCAUGUGUUAAGCCUGCCGCUAGCGUUCAUCCUGAGCCAGGAUCAAACUCU